UUGAACGCUGGCGGCAUGCUUUACACAUGCAAGUCGAACGGUAACAGGGAGCUUGCUCCGCUGACGAGUGGCGAACGGGUGAGUAAUGCAUCGGAACGUGCCUAUUUGUGGGGGAUAACGUAGCGAAAGUUACGCUAAUACCGCAUACGCCCUGAGGGGGAAAGCAGGGGAUCUUCGGACCUUGUGCGAAUGGAGCGGCCGAUGUCAGAUUAGCUAGUUGGUGGGGUAAAGGCCCACCAAGGCGACGAUCUGUAGCGGGUCUGAGAGGAUGAUCCGCCACACUGGGACUGAGACACGGCCCAGACUCCUACGGGAGGCAGCAGUGGGGAAUUUUGGACAAUGGGCGCAAGCCUGAUCCAGCCAUGCCGCGUGAGUGAAGAAGGCCUUCGGGUUGUAAAGCUCUUUCAGACGGAAAGAAAUCGGGCGCGUGAAUAGCGUGCCUGGAUGACGGUACUGUCAGAAGAAGCACCGGCUAACUACGU
Molecule: ribosomal RNA, 482 nt
Filed under: uncultured bacterium
Lineage: Bacteria
Description: bacterial SSU rRNA
Rfam family: Bacterial small subunit ribosomal RNA
Source: RNAcentral